CAUCAUUUGGUUAGUAUCACUUGUCCUAUUUUUUUUCUUGAAUACUCCGUUUUUAUUAUUCUACAGAGAAGGGCACAACGCAAUUGGUCUCUAGACUUGCCCAAGUAACUUUCUCUCUCCAGCAGUUUCUGUCAGUUCUUGGGUUUGGAAAUUUCCUUCCUGCUCACCUCCACUGGCAGCGUGUUCACCUCACGUUAGGCCCUCUGGUUCAAUGCUCCAAAAGUGUGAUGAGCAUAAAGAGAAUUUUCCUCUCAGGAAAACAAUAAUGGCUGGAUCACUGAUACACUAUGGGUUCAUAAAGAAAGCCAACCAACCAAGUCACCAAACAAACAGCCAACCAAUCAACCAACAAGCAAGCAAGCAACAAACCAACCAAACAACCAAGCAAGGAAGCAAGCACCACCAACCAAGCAAGCAACCAACCAAGUAACCGAUCAAACCAACCCUUGGAGCCCUUUCUAAAGCUUUGACCUACAACUCUGAGUCCAGAAUCUCUGUUUAGUGGGCCAACAUUAAUAAAUUUAGCCUAAUCCA
This 534-nucleotide long non-coding RNA is filed under the name Homo sapiens (human). Its description in RNAcentral is "HSALNT0217075". The record is from RNAcentral. Lineage: Eukaryota; Metazoa; Chordata; Mammalia; Primates; Hominidae.